AUUGAACGCUGGCGGCAUGCUUUACACAUGCAAGUCGAACGGCAGCGCGGUCUUCGGCCUGGCUGCGAGUGUCGAACGGGUGAGUAAUGCAUCGGAACGUGCUCAGCAGUGGGGGAUAGCCCGGCGAAAGCCGUAUUAAUACCGCAUACGACCUGCGGGUGAAAGCGGGGGACCGAAAGGCCUCUCGCUAUUUGAGCGGCCGAGGUCGGACUUGCUAGUUGGUGGGGUAAAGGCUUACCAAGGCGACGAUCCGUAGCUGGUCUGAGAGGACGACUAGCCACACUGGAACUGAGACACGGCCAAGACUCCUACGGGAGGCAGCAGUGGGGUAUUGUGGACAAUGGGGGCAACCCUGAUCCAGCGAUGCCGAGUGCGAGAAGAAGGCCUUCGGGUUGUAAAGCGGGUUUGUGCGGGAAGAAAUCCUCUGGGCUAAUACCAAGGGGGGAUGACGGUACCGGAAGAAUAAGCACCGGCUAACUACGUG
RNAcentral lists this ribosomal RNA (484 nucleotides) under uncultured bacterium. RNAcentral describes it as "partial 16S ribosomal RNA". It matches the Rfam family "Bacterial small subunit ribosomal RNA", at positions 29 to 507 of the family's 1533-position model. The record is from RNAcentral.